Long non-coding RNA from Mauremys mutica (yellowpond turtle), 1785 nucleotides. RefSeq lists it as uncharacterized. The record is from RefSeq and is a predicted model, not a curated record. Lineage: Eukaryota; Metazoa; Chordata; Testudines; Geoemydidae. The transcript has 3 exons.
AUUAUCAUCAUCACUGAGGGAAAUGAUCAGAGGAUGGCUGGUUAGACAGGAGUUGCUGAGCAGCUGCCACUGACUUCUGUGUUCAGCACCUCUGAAAAUCAGGCGUGCGUGUGUGUGUGUUAUCAUCAGAGGUAAACAGAAUUUAUGAGAACACAACUUAUUUUCUCGUAUAAGCAGUAAUUGAGCAACUGCCAAAUACACAAGACCUGGAGGGAGGAAGAUGCAAGUCUGGCUCUCAGAAACAGAAGAAAUGAUGAACUGACACAUCUAAGUGCAAUACUGGUAGUCUGAAGUCUGACAUGCUGCAUCAACCACCACAGAAGAUUCAAGGCCUAUUCAGUGUGUGUGGUUAAAGCGAAAGUCCCCACCCAAACAACCCAGAGUCACUUCACCCCAGAGAAGAGGUACUCACAUGCAAUGCGAACAUAGGCCUUUCGACUCUUAGUAGUGCCGGCAGAGCUCCAAGCGACACACUGGCACCAGUAAUCUUCAGGUCCAAAGAGUUCUUCCACCUGCUGACGGGAAAUCUCAAUGCUCACUUCCCGAACAAUCAAACCUGUCAGGAUACAAUUAAUAUCCCGAAUGUAUUAGAGUUGGUGAAGCUAUUGUUCAGAGUAAUAUAUUAGAGAGCGAGCGCAUGCGAGUGUGCUUGCAAAACUCUUCUGAGCCCUGGCUGAUAAUCUACUCAACAGCCCUUAUCAUGAGGAGACUGUUAAGAAAAACCACAACAUUAUAGGUGAGUGAACAAGUGAAUAUUUUGCAAGACUCAUUUAUAUCAUGUAUACGUGCACGCACACACACACACACAGACACACACACACACAAUACAUCUAAACAUUGGGCAGAUCCUCAGCUAGUGUAAGCCAGAGUAGCUCCAUUGCUUCCAUUUCCCAUUGACACCAGGUGAGGAUCUGGCACAGUACAAUUUUAAUAUGAAACAUGCUUCCCAUCUCACACUAUCGGGAGCUGUGUAAAAAUACAAGUCUCCUCCUUUAAAAAAAAAUAUCAUCCAGUUUGGGGAUGCUGAUGGAGCAACUCUUGUUCACUAGAAUACUAAAUUGUGCAUAGCACCAUGACUUCACCCCUCCUAAAAACGGAACAGUUGUCUACACUGAUGGUCUCAAACCCUGCAGCUUAAUAAUUGUAAGCAGUAUUGUUUUGAACUAUACUGUCCAGAACAAGGGUCUACUGUGCACUACAGUAUUGCACACCACUGUGCUCUGCAUUGCCCCCUAACAUGCCUUCCCCCAUAUCCUGUAAUAAUGUAUUUUAAUGCAAUCCUCAAAAAUCUGCAAUGAGAACAACAGUGAUGAUAACGCUGUCAGUGCCAUUACAAACCUAGCAUUUGCCCAGUUACCACACAGUGCUAUCUGAUGUGCAGCAUUUUUUCCUAUUUUACGUACAAGGAAAUAUUGUGGUAUCUCAGAUACCACUGCAAUAUCUGUUGGUAAGAUGCUGACUUUUUAACACCAAUUGACAUACUCCAUGUUUUGCAUGAUCCCACCCUUACAAUUCACCAACCCUGUGAAAAUGCUCUUUACUUCAGUUUUAAAAUGGUAGCCAAGGGGUGUGGGUGGGUGGGUAGGGGGGAGAAUCUAUGCACCAUUUUUAAAACAUAUUUGCACUGUGUUGCUGAUGCCAAAGUCUCAAUAAACUUUGAGUGUGUCCAUCCAUAAAAAAAAAAAUCAUCACCAUUUCUAAAACGUAGUCCAACAAAGGACCUUAAGUAUAUAAACCUCACAUACAAAUAUUUUGUACAGUGUGACUGAUUCUCUUUUUCCUUAC